This 185-nucleotide unclassified non-coding RNA is filed under the name soil metagenome. RNAcentral describes it as "partial internal transcribed spacer 1". The record is from RNAcentral.
AAAGAUAUAGCAUAUUCUUCUGAAAUAUACUUUAUUAACCCAUUCCGAGUACCUUACCCGUUGCUUCCGCGAGGCUGUCCUCACGGCCCUCUGAAGAUUUAUCUUUGGGGAAGUACCUUGCGGAAAGGUAUACAAUAACUCUUGCAUUACCAUGUCAUCUGUCUGAAUCUGUUAAAACAAUAUUA